ACAAAUAUAUAUAUAUAUAAUAAAUAAUAUAUAUAAUAAAUAUAUAAUACUUUAUAUACUAUAGACAUAAAUAUAGGCCUGAAAAGGCAAAUGUGGACAUUUUCUUUUGUCAUAUCUGCAAAAGUUAGACAUAAAGAAAAAGAAAUCUUUCAAGCUUGUGAAUUAAAAGGUAUGUUUUAAGCCUGACUUCAAUUGCUAAAGUAUCUUCUAGUAUGUCUUUUAUCAUCCUACUGUUUCAUAUUCUACACAUACAAGCAACCUUUCUCAUUCAGGAUGUGACCAGCAAAUGCAUUGGCGUUGCUGGUAAUGGCUCUGAAAUGUAAGUACAGUUGGAGGACUUAAUAAAAAACCCCGAGGUGUUAGAUUGAAAUGUUCAGGUUCAAACCCCAUAACUUUCUUUCAUUGUUCUUGUUGCUGAGUGUAUCUUCUUGUAUGGCUACAAGCAUAUGCGACUAAGACUUUGUUCUCAGACAGAAUCUCUUUGUGAAUGAUACUCAGUUCUUAUAAACCUUUUGAUUUGGAGUGGUGAAAAAUGACCUGUGGUAUAGCUGUGCCCAUGUAAGCUUCUCCAGGCUGUCUACAGCUCCUGGACUUGGUCUGCAGGUUCAGGCCACUACUGACCUCAAAUGACUUUGAACCAGCCUGUUGACAACAAAAAAGUUAGAGUUCCACUGCAAGUCCUCUGAGUAGCAAAUACUCCUGCUCUGGCUUCAGGACAAGCUGUGUCUUGUGUCUCUGGAGUACAUGAUGUAUUGGUUUGCACACAUAGGUGUCAGAGCCCUCUCCUGAAAGAAAAUAGCUCCUCUAUAGGACCUCACAGACAUGUAGGGCUCUGUGGUAACCUUCUGGUGACCUUUUGUUUCUAAACAAGCGGUUUUGUGCAUGAAUUCAUUGACUUUUUUUAGAGAAGCAUAUACAAGUCUGAUGAUUUGCAAUUUCUUUUAUUAGAAUUGUACUAACUAUGGCAGAAUGACCAGAACUAAAAGAGAUACAGUUCCAUUCCCCAGUCACAUGGUCUCAUGGUCCCAUUAAGUGAAAGCUAGGAGACAAGAGGGAAGCAACUCCAAAUAAAAGGAAAGUUCUUACAACUGAAACCUUAGUCCUUGGAGGAGCACUGAUGGCAGUUUUAAUCAUGGCUGGAAUCUUUGGAAAACUUUUCUUUCACCUAAAAAGACAAUCUCCUUUUCUGCCAGCACAGCAGACAAUAACAUAUUUUCACAAUUUGGAAAUAGCUUAAUGAUCGGCUGAUUUCUCUGUAAUGUCUUCCAGAAUUCAGUCUAAAUUAUCAUGAGAGAGAAUCACAAGAAGAUCUAAUUAAGCCUUGUUUUGCAGAAACUUAUGGUUUUUAUUUUCACAUAGUUGAAGGUGUCAGAGAACUGUUUCAAUAUUUUGUUUACUUUCUGACCUGUGUAGUUUACUAAGAAUAGCUGAAAUAUAAACAGUGUAAUUUAUACUACACACUAUAAACAGUGUAAUUUAAUAAUAAUCAUACAGUGAUUUUUGUUUAACCUAUGAAAAAGUACUCCAAACACAACCAUCAUCUGAAAGUUUUCACUUUUGUCUUGAACAAAAAAAAAAGAUUUCCAUGCAACAGCAGAGGAUUUUUCCACUCUGAAAAAGCACUGAUCCUUUCUAUCUUGCUUGUUCAUAAGUCUACAGCCAACAAAAGGAGUCCAGUCUGAUGUGAUUAAAACUAAACCGACUUGAAGGUAUUUAUAGCCCAGUACCUGGGCCAGAGUACCAAACAUUCCCACCAAACACACGCGGUACCCACCCACCACAGCUUCCCUGGCUGUAACCAGGCGGGUAAUUAUGCUGAAAUCGAGACAUCUGACCGGAUGAGAGUUUAGACUAUCCUACCAAAAAAAACCCUUCCCAUAUUGAAGAUGGAAUAAUGCAAAACAACUCCAAACCCCCAAAUUCACAAGAGCUUCUCUAGCUCAUUCUCUUAUAAUCCAUAUGCCGGAAGAUCUAAAAGUGUAACUUUUACUGUUGUGAAAUCUUUUCAAAAGAGAACCUGAAUUCCUAUGACACUUCAAGUUUAUAGGUUUUUUAAUGAUAGAAGGGCUGCCUUGUUAAAGAGAAGAGGCUUUGCUUGGAAAUGCAUAAUCACAAAGGUAUUAAAGUAAAUAUCAAAUCUCUUGAUGGGCCUAAGCUGAAAAUACAAACCCAGGAGGUAGAAAAAACUUCUUUUGAGGUCUCUGUUGUUUGGAAACAUUCUGCUCUCAAAGCUGUGCAGUGCAAAUUACAUAGAGGCUUUGUGGGCAGAUCUCAGCUGUUUAUUUUUACACACUGCUAAAUAUGAAUGUUCAAGCAUCAGUAGAUCUACUUGCAAAUGCAUUUUGGAAACAAUCUUUUUUUUUCUUUCCCUUUUUUUUUCUUUUCUUUUUUUUUCCUGUAACUCCAUUUAGAAAGAACUUCCAGAGACAAAUAGUUGUCAGUGAAAAACAACUGUGAUUUGUUAGGAUUUGAAACUAGAAAGUGCUUAAAUUAUUCACCUUGAUUAGAAAGUGUGUCAGCAAACAGAUCACUCUUUUUAUAACCUCGGGAACAAAUCUGGUUUAUUUCAUGUACCGUUGGCAGCUUACAGGAGACUGUCUGCACACCUCAGCAACUGCCUUGGCAUUUGGUACAGGCUUUGCUUCAGCCUAGGGGAGAGAACUGAAUUACGCUGCUGCAAGAAUCGGCUUACACUUCCCUCUUCCGCUGACUUCAGCAACAGUGUCAUGUACAGACCAAUACCGAACCAGAUAUACAGAUAUUCAUUUUCCAUGCAUGAGUAACCAGAAUGAAGUUUCAUUCAUUUUGGACUUAAGCCAGAAGAAAAUAGCCUCUACAGUUGUUCACCCACUGAAUCCUCAAAGACCUUCUGGCUUGUAGGGCAGUGGUACUAAGCCAAAUUGUGUGAUUCUAACUAACUUGCCCUAUUACCUCAAAUUGCAGCUCAUGAGAACAACGAUGGUCAUCAAGUAUGGCAGAAAGAGAUAGCUCAAGGACAGUGAGAAGGCCUAUGCACUAAAGCAUGAGAGAAGUAGGAGACUCUUCCUUGAAUGACCAGAUUCUGAAUGUCCAAACCUGUAACAGCCGCUUCGUUUAUUUACUCCCCACUAAAGCUGUGUUAAAACCCAAGAGAUUUCAACAAUCUUCCACGUUGGCUGGCUCUUAAGCAUAAGUCUAUGUGCAUGACGUGGGAAUAUACAGCCUGGAAGCUGGGAGAAGGCAAACAAGGUGUUUAACUGGAAGCUUGAGGCAAAAGUAAAGCUACUUCUUGUGAGUUACCAAACUAAUAUAUCUGUAUUUUCUGUGUAUGCUUUCAUUAGUAUUAUUUUAUUA
Anas platyrhynchos (mallard) is the source of this 3333-nucleotide non-coding RNA. Lineage: Eukaryota; Metazoa; Chordata; Aves; Anseriformes; Anatidae. The record is from RefSeq and is a predicted model, not a curated record.